CCUACGGGAGGCAGCAUUGGGGAAUCUUGGACAAUGGGGGCAACCCUGAUCCAGCCAUGCCGCGUGAGUGAAGAAGGCCCUAGGGUCGUAAAACUCUUUCGCCCGUGAUGAUAAUGACAGUAGCAGGUAAAGAAACCCCGGCUAACUCCGUGCCAGCAGCCGCGGUAAUACGGAGGGGGUUAGCGUUGUUCGGAAUUACUGGGCGUAAAGCGCACGUAGGCGGAUUAG
This 228-nucleotide ribosomal RNA is filed under the name uncultured marine bacterium. RNAcentral describes it as "partial 16S ribosomal RNA". It matches the Rfam family "Bacterial small subunit ribosomal RNA", at positions 338 to 583 of the family's 1533-position model. The record is from RNAcentral.